RNAcentral lists this ribosomal RNA (443 nucleotides) under uncultured bacterium. RNAcentral's name for it is "partial 16S ribosomal RNA". It matches the Rfam family "Bacterial small subunit ribosomal RNA", at positions 338 to 795 of the family's 1533-position model. The record is from RNAcentral.
ACUACGGGAGGCUGCAGUGGGGAAUAUUGGGCAAUGGGCGCAAGCCUGACCCAGCAACGCCGCGUGAAGGAAGAAGGCUUUCGGGUUGUAAACUUCUUUUCUCAGGGACGAAGAACGUGACGGUACCUGUUUAGAAAGCUCCGGCUAACUACGUGCCAGCAGCCGCGGUAAUACGUAGGGAGCAAGCGUUGUCCGGAAUUACUGGGCGUAAAGGGCGCGUAGGUGGGCGCUUAAGUCAGGUGUGAAAACUCCGGGCUCAACCUGGAGACUGCACUUGAAACUGGGUGUAUUGAGGGCAGGAGAGGAAAGUGGAAUUCCUAGUGUAGCGGUGAAAUGCGUAGAUAUUAGGAGGAACACCAGUGGCGAAGGCGACUUUCUGGACUGUACCUGACGCUGAGGCGCGAAAGCGUGGGUAGCGAACGGGAUUAGAUACCCUUGUAGUC